Ipomoea triloba (trilobed morning glory) is the source of this 3416-nucleotide RNA transcript. RefSeq lists it as uncharacterized. Lineage: Eukaryota; Viridiplantae; Streptophyta; Magnoliopsida; Solanales; Convolvulaceae. The transcript is spliced from 3 exons. The record is from RefSeq and is a predicted model, not a curated record.
UGGAAGGAGAUCCAAUUUGUGAGGCUGUGAUCUUUCACUUUAUCCACAACAAGUUAUCAACCCACUUUGAUUCCAAAAAUUUGUGUCUUGUGCACUCAACUUUCUUGAUCUGCAGAAACUCUGCAUAAUACUAAAAUGGCUUCCAAUCUUGUAAAAUUCCACUCUCAAUUCAUCAGAACUUCAAAGCCCAAUGUCCAUUUCAAGCUGACACAAAUUCAGUAUCCAUCUUUCUUCUCCCCUCCACUCCAUCAUCUUCACUGUGAUAACCUUUCUACUAUUUCCUUAACCAAAUCAAGAUUCCCCCAGUGUGCUCUCUCCUCCCCCACCCCACCUACCACCAAAGAAGAAGCUAUUUCCCAGGCAAAGACCUCUCUUUCCACCACUUUAGAGAAGCCCCUCAACAAUGCCAAACUCGCCGGCCGGCUCAAGAAGCUAAAGCAACCCAGAUUCCGGGUCGAGAUUCCGGUGAUCGAUGACUCGCCCUCUUCUCUCUCUCAGCUCGCGAUUGAUGUCUUUGCAGACAUGCCCAUCAAAAGGAAAGGCUCUAAAAUCAAGAUUCUUAUUCUCUGGCCGGAUAAAACCUUGGCUGCGGCUGCUAAAGCCUUUGAAACUCGUUCUUCGAGCACCAUAGUUGAAAACCUAGACGUUUUGUCGGUAACUAACGGGGACAAUACCAGGAUUUUGAAUUUAAAUUCUUCCGAUGUGGUUGUGUUUUUGGCUCCAGAGGUUUCACAGCUUGAAGCUAUGAAGAAUAUCACUGAUAAUUUGUACCCUAAGCCCGUGGUGAUUUUCAACCCCAAAUGGGGGUUCGAAGAAGAGGGCAGCUUUGGGGAAUUGAGUGGAUUUGUGGGUUCAUUUGAAGUAGUGUACUCAUUCAUGGGAUUGGAGGUUAGAGGGGUUCUGAACAGGAGAAAAGGUGUGGUUUUUAAGUGUGUGAGAGAUGGGGUUUUGAGCGGCGAGAGAUGGAACGUGUUGGUUGAAGAAGAGGGAGAGUUGAAGCUAGUCUCCACUUUCAAAUCAAGGCCAUCCUUCACUGAAGUUGAGAAUGUUCUGUACAACUUGAUGGCCAUGAAUUCUCCACUCACAAAGUCUGCAAAGUUCUUGAAGGGCUUGAUGUCAAAUGUGACUGUGAAGGAAGACCAGUUGACAAAACGUAAGUCCGGGGGCAGCUUUCUUCUCAUAUACUCAUAUCAGGAGCUGUUGCCCCUGCUUUCAAAAAUGAUUCCCUGGAUUCUUCUCCUCUAUGAAAGCUGAAGAUCGAGAUAGUCCUUCCUGAACCAAACUCAUGAUGCCGUUAUAUGACACCUUUUAAUGAAUGUAUCCGAGAAAUUGACAUACUUGGUCCAUAAUGAUCGGAGUUGUGGGAAUGCUAUGUCUAGCCAGGGUUUUGCUCUGCCAUUGAAGUGGACAACACCCGCACUUGCAGCAUCUGCAAUGCUUGUAUUAUCCUGGUAGCCAAGACCUAACAUGUGCCAGAAGGAAUCAAUGACAUGUACAUGGCCGUGGAAUGCGAUUAGGCCCGGAGGUGUCAAAGGAUGCAAGGAAAACCAUGCCUGCAUUUGGGAGUAAGUUUUUUUGUCUGUGAUUAUGUGAAGCACAAACUUUUCUGGGUGCAAUGAGUUUUGGACUAGUGAUGAAGCAACAACAGAGGCAGCAAGAACAUUGUCAGAGGCCAGAACGAAAUGGAAGAACGAGUUAUCAACAAGGGCAGGGACAAGCUCCGGUGAUGGUAACUGGAGACGAGCAUUAGCAUUGCUCGAGUGCUCAUUUGCUAACAUUAGCGAAAGGCAGUGCAGCUGUUUAGGGAUGCUAUUGGAUGCCACGUGGCGAUACAGGUACUCUUGGAUUUUUGCAGUUCUAGUUGUUUGCUCAAGGAAAUUGAUCUGUUAGGAAAAUAAACACAAGUAAGCCUAUUGAUUUUAGAUAAUUCACAUCGAAAGAAGCAUUUCAUCUUUAGAAUUUUAUAUACUUCAUAAUGGAAUUUUAUCUGUCUGAUCUAAUCAGGAGGGAAAUUAGUAACAAUGCCAUACCAUAGCUUUUAGCUUGACUGCAAAGGUCUUUGCAUCGGGUCUAUCACCUUUGAAUUCUGCAAUUAAGUCUUCGAGGGUCUGAGGUGUUUCUGGUCCAACUUGUAUCUCGGUUUCGUUUGCUGGUUCCUCCAAUACACUGUAUAUCACUUCUGGGAGCUAACAGAAAAUAGAAAUCUUCAUUCUAAUUUGUAUUCUUCUAAUGAAAAUGAAAGCCAUUUAGGUCAAAGUCUAGUUAUGAGCUUACCGUUGAUUCAAGCUGCCUUCCUAAAAUACUCGGUCGUAUUUUUCUUCCAAAGCAACCUGCAUUAGGUUGAAGUUUCAUUUCUAAUCACAUUACACACUUGUUAAUGUCACUAAAUGCUUCAAGUUUCAUCAUUUCAGAAAAUUACUGUAAAAAGGAAAAAAUAAAAAGUAACCUGAUGACAUGUGUAACUGAAAAAAGGCAUUUGCUUUCCCGAUUCUUUCCAUUUUAGUCAUUUAAGCUUUUUAUGCUAAACAUAUAUUUGUUUUCCAUUUGUGGUUACACAUUAUGGGCAAGAGUGCUGCUAAUUAUAUGGGAAGUACGAUCGAGGGCGUUACCUAUGCCUGAACACUUGCUUUCUCCGUCAAUGGUGUCCACAGCCGUCAACAAGAACACGAACCGGAGAAGAAACGUGAAGAGCAGGAGGGAGUAGAAGACCACGCGAAAGGACACCCGUCUGGACACAAUUCUGAACUUGAUGAACUCCUUCACGCCUUUGGUGGGAAGCACCGUUACGUGCCUCAGGCUCGGAGAUAUGUGAAGCUGCAUUUCUGAUUCCCGAGAAACCACGUCCCCCCGGGAUUCCUUUCUUUAAUUUGCUAGUCUUGUCUCAAGCAGUUCACCAGAAAAAAGAAGAAAAAAGGCACCCAAUGAGUUGCUGGUGCAGAAGAAAGAGCCUUUUUGAGGGGUGAUGACCGUGCCCUCCUCGUGGUCGCUAUCUAUCACCUAAACUUGCUUAACAUAUCAGCCAUGUAUGCAUUGCUCCAGGUUUUACCACCAUCAUUGUUUUGACAAAGGAAUAAUGUUUAAUGGUGACUUAGUUGUUUGAGAGAUAGAGACUGGUUUUUAAUUUUCUUGGCUUGAUGUUGAAGAAGGGAAGUUGGAGAGAAGGGGAAAGGGCAAAGAGAGGCUAAUUUAGUUUUUAGUUUUUAGUUUUGGUUUGGUGUUUGCUUCACUUUGCCUCCACCUUAUGAAUGGUGUAUUUUGACACAACUGAAUUUCUGACAGGAAAAUGACUGUAUCUCUGCCUAAUCAAUGAGCAUAUACGCAUUGGUUGUUGGCAGUUUAGGGAAGAGUCAUUUUCCAUUUGUGGGAAAUUCUUUGUUUAACUCAACCCUUUAAUAUAUUUUUAAUUUCUCAUUUAA